This 202-nucleotide long non-coding RNA is filed under the name Mytilus galloprovincialis (Mediterranean mussel). The record is from RNAcentral. Lineage: Eukaryota; Metazoa; Mollusca; Bivalvia; Mytilida; Mytilidae.
GUCUAUGUUUUAUUGUGUUUAAAGGUUUAUGAUUCAAAUAUUGCAUAAUUUAGGAAAGGGAUUAAAAUAGUAACUGAUAUAGAAAAAAAAACUAAUACCUCGAAUGUGGCGAUCAUGUGACUAUAGGGUUGUAUUAUAUGAAACAUAUACGUAAGAACCAUUUGUGUCUGACACUUGGUUGUUUCUUAUAUUAUUAGAUUCG